GUGUCAUGGGUGCAGAACAAAGAUCUUUGCAUAUGGAUCCCUCUUCACUGUAUAGCCAAGGAAUUAUGCAGGCAAAAUCUGGAUUAAGUGGCGCUGGUAAGCAACUGCUUUGGAAAAUUCAUAAAAUGAUUUUGUCUUGCACAUGUCCUUUCAAUUAUAUAACAAUUGUUCAUAUAUAAAUCAUGAAAGUUUGGCAAUCUUGGAUUUUCAAAUAUUGCAUGAAGGGACUAUAUAUCAUUUCUUUUGUAUGCAUUUAUGUAUUCAAAACAUAUGUUACAAACCAUGUGCCAAUCAAAAUCACUUCAAUAAUAAUUUCUUUUGUAUACAUAUCAUUUCUUUUGUUUUAAUUUGGUAUUUUGUUAUAUUUGAAAUCAAAAUCACUUUAUUAUAAUCAAUAUUGAUUGUAUUAGCCAAGAAUAUAUGAGAGAAUACUAAAUCAAGUUUUUUUAUUUUUCUGGUGUACCAUGUGCCAAUAUGCCAUACACGUUGGACCUGUACUGGUCAGGGCGGGGCAUGGAUUAAUACAAGCCCAGUACCUGAAAUUUGAUUCCAUGGUAACAAAUAUCUAAAAUCUGCAACUUGCAUUUACUUGC
RNAcentral lists this long non-coding RNA (593 nucleotides) under Musa acuminata (dwarf banana). RNAcentral describes it as "long non-coding RNA (MACU_LNC002502)". The record is from RNAcentral. Lineage: Eukaryota; Viridiplantae; Streptophyta; Magnoliopsida; Zingiberales; Musaceae.